UUUGGCCUAUGAUGACUUGCAGAAUUAUUUGCCUACAUUGUUUGAGUGAUAGUAUGAUAUUAUCUGCAAAUUUCUGAGGCUAUC
Panicum virgatum (switchgrass) is the source of this 84-nucleotide small nucleolar RNA. RefSeq annotates it as small nucleolar RNA SNORD34. Lineage: Eukaryota; Viridiplantae; Streptophyta; Magnoliopsida; Poales; Poaceae. The transcript has a single exon. The record is from RefSeq and is a predicted model, not a curated record.